GAUUGUAACUCUGCCAAGGUACCCUGAUAUGCAAGAUUACCUGUUAUUAAACCGUUCAAAUUAAAUUAAUCAUUCAGAAAAAGUACGUAACAAUGAGAGUGUGUUUGUUGGUUACUAGUCUAUUUAUUUAUUUAGCUGUUGGGAUUCCAGUGACAGAUAUUCAAUUUGAUACACGCCGGUUACUCAUGGAUAUCAAUAAGAUUCUUCCUAAUGCUCGGGCUUGUUCCAGCUGGUUUCCACAAAACAGCAUCUACUGUACUACAACAAGUCAACCUGAUGAGUCAACAAAUAUAUAAAAACAUUUUUCUCAGUUUUCUGCAAGAAAAUAAAAGUUAUUUACUUAAAUAGA
Long non-coding RNA from Leguminivora glycinivorella, 349 nucleotides. RefSeq lists it as uncharacterized. The transcript has 2 exons. The record is from RefSeq and is a predicted model, not a curated record. NCBI's taxonomy places the organism in Eukaryota, Metazoa, Arthropoda, Insecta, Lepidoptera, Tortricidae.